CCUGGGCUACAGAGCAAGACCCUGUCUCAAAAAUAAAGAACAUAUGCCACUUGUGGUAGUCAUCAUAUGGUAGGGAACACCCUUCAGAUGUUGACCCCAGCAGCCAUGCCUAUAGGCCAGGUCAGAAACAACCAACGUGCUCAAAAUAGAAACUCCUUAUCAACCACUGGUCACUGGGGUUGAGAGCACCAUGUAUAAGACCACAGCAUUUGUUAUGUGGCCAGCACCAAUAAGGCAGAAAAUGAGGAAGAUCAGAAAGAGCUUCCUUUCUUCUAGGAUGGCUUGAUCAGGAGGCUCUUCAGGUGUGGCUGCCAGCAGUACCAAACUUUUCCUUACAACUUAGCAACUCUAUUCCAGCAAAGUCCCAGGCUAGUCACAUGCCAUGCUAAUUUCUGAAUCUGUCACCAUGACUCUGUCCAAGUCUGGCUUCUGUCGAGCUCUGAAGCCAGAACGUGAAAUUGGCCCCAUGAAACCACAUGGCCCGAAGGACCAAGUCUUUGCAAAACCUAUCAAAUGGAUGGAUGGCUUCAAGACAGCAGAGAACCCACAAGCUUGAAGAGGCCUCCGGAGAGUUCACUCAGGAUAAACGGGGUGCUGGCAUCGUCCUGGUCCUCUCUGUACAGUAACAGUGUUACAGCCCUGUGAGUUCAGUAGUAAAGGAUCUGGAGUCCAUGGGGAAAUUCUAAGGAGAUCAAUGGAACUGAUAUAUUAUAUAGCCAAAUACUUAUUAAUAAAGUAACCAUCCUUAUAAAGGCUGAUUUAGGCAAGCCUCUGCCUUCAGGAGGAAGUUCACUGAAACAAACCUGGCAGAUUGAUGACUCUGUCUUUCAAAUCUCCAGGAAAUAUGGUUUCAUAAUUUUUCUUUAUCACCUAGCCCCAACUUUAAUUUUCAUAAUUCAGUGUGUAAAGCACUGUGCCAGGUUUCUAGUGAGUACACAAUGAGGAAGCCAUACUCUUUGCAUUCAAGAGUUUAUAUAGUUAUACAAAAGCACUUACUAAUGACAAUAUCAGCAACUAACAUUUGAAUGCUUACUAUGUGCUUGGAACUUUAUCUCCUUUAAACCAACAAUAGCCCCAUUAAGUGGGUAAUAUUAUUAGUCCCAUUCUACAGAUGAAAAAACCAAGGCUCACGUAAGUUACAUGAUUUACUAAGGGUCACACAACUGGAAUGGUGGAAUUGAGAUUUAAUCCAGGCAGUCUAUGCCUGUUUAGCAAGUUCUGUUACAGAAGCAUAAGAAAAAGAGACACAAAGCACAAAAGAUUAGAUAUAUUUCAAAUAUGGGAGGACUUUAAAACUGAGAGGAGGUGGUACAGACACAACCGGGGCAGGGAGCAGGUUGUAGUGAAUCUAGAAUGGAGAACAGGCUGGUUGUCAGUAAGAAGUGACGAGAGAGAGAGGUGGGAAAUGACUGAACAGAGAGCUUGAAGCCAGAUCACGAAAGCUUGUCAAAGCUAUGCUAAAGGAGUUUGGAUUUCAUUCUGUAGACAAUGGGAAUGACAGAAAUGUGAACAUGGAAAUAAUAUGCUUUCUUUUGUGUUAUGAGUAUCUUGGCAGAAUUGAUUUGGAUGGAUCAGAGUGAAUGGAGACCAGUUGAAGGAAGACUGGUUCAAUGGCUAGAGAAUAUGAAUGUUGGUCUUAAGUCCAAGGCCCACAUGUCAAAGACGAGUGCUCUGCUGAUAUCUAGUUGAGUGACUUUGGAAAAGUCUGAGGCCUCGAUUUCCUCACCUGGAAAGUGAAAACACUGGACAUGCUCUUUGACAUUUCAUCCAGCACUGAAAUUUUAUAGUCUUGUGAAAAAUCUCUUCUUGAAAUGUUAUCUUGGGUGGUCUUAGAUUGUGUGUGACUGGAACUGGGGCUGAUUUGUAAAACCCUUGAAUGUGCUUGAAAAUACCAACCCACAGUGUUUUCUUCUCCUGGGAAAAGAACCAAAACUCUUAAAAAAUAUACAUUGUGCUUUCUAUCUUUAAUACCAUUUAUAAAU
RNAcentral lists this long non-coding RNA (1982 nucleotides) under Homo sapiens (human). Its description in RNAcentral is "HSALNT0384940". Lineage: Eukaryota; Metazoa; Chordata; Mammalia; Primates; Hominidae. The record is from RNAcentral.